CAGUAGGAGCCUGCCUGGAUUAGACAAAUACAAGACAAAUAACAGGGGCAGCAAGGCAGAAAAGCUCCCAGUCUCUCAGGUCCACGGAGGCCAAAGUGUGGGGAGGCGCAGCAAAAUGAAGCAGCAAGAAUCAUUUGCAUGUGGAGGAUGCACCCAGGACUAGUGUAGAGUUUUAUUUGACAAG
Long non-coding RNA from Tachysurus vachellii, 184 nucleotides. RefSeq lists it as uncharacterized. The transcript is spliced from 3 exons. The record is from RefSeq and is a predicted model, not a curated record. NCBI's taxonomy places the organism in Eukaryota, Metazoa, Chordata, Actinopteri, Siluriformes, Bagridae.